CCUACGGGUGGCAGCAGUGGGGAAUAUUGCACAAUGGGGGAAACCCUGAUGCAGCGACGCCGCGUGAGCGAUGAAGUAUUUCGGUAUGUUAAGCUCCAUUAGCAGGGAAGAAAACGACGGUACCUGACUCUGAAGCCCCGGCUCACUACGUGCCAGCAGCCGCGGUAAUACGCAGGGGGCAAGCGUUAUCCGGAUUUACUGGGCGUAAAGGGGGCGUAGGCGGCGGUGCAAGGCAGAGGUGAAAGCCCGGGGCUCAACCCCGGGACUGCAUUUGAAACUGUGCUGCUAGAGAGUCGGAGAGGCAGGCGGAAUUCCUAGUGUAGCGGUGAAAUGCGUAGAGAUUAGGAGGAACACCAGUGGCGAAGGCGGCCUGCUGGACGAUGACUGACGUUGAGGCACGAAAGCGUGGGGAGCAAACAGGAUUAGAUACCCGUGUAGUC
RNAcentral lists this ribosomal RNA (440 nucleotides) under uncultured bacterium. RNAcentral's name for it is "partial 16S ribosomal RNA". It matches the Rfam family "Bacterial small subunit ribosomal RNA", at positions 338 to 795 of the family's 1533-position model. The record is from RNAcentral.